This is a long non-coding RNA of Anas platyrhynchos (mallard), 962 nucleotides long. RefSeq lists it as uncharacterized. The record is from RefSeq and is a predicted model, not a curated record. Lineage: Eukaryota; Metazoa; Chordata; Aves; Anseriformes; Anatidae.
GCAUCAAGGACUAUUUAAGCUGAGUUCAAAGACUUUACUUGAACUGCAUUUGGCAGUGCUUAUGUGAUUUUCUCUGUUGCCUAAAGUUCAACUUGUACUAAAGGUUGUACUAAAGGCAUGGUAGCAGGUGAAGGAACAGGAGCAGUUUGGCAGGGGUGGUGGAGUCCAUUACCUUCCCGGCUCGCUUCCAAGCAGUGGUUUCUGAUGGGAAAACCUAGAGAAGAGCUCAUGGUUAUCAUUAUCCCUAAUAGAGCUUGUCCUGCAGGAGACCUGGAGGCAUUAGGUCAUGGAUCGGGUGCUAUGCAACAUGCUGCGAAAUGUGGAUCACAUCCCGUGUUUUUCCCCAUAGAUUUUAUCUUCUGAAUAGAAAGUGCCUUUUUCCUUCGUCAGUCUUCCUCAGGACAGAGUACUUGACUGGACUCAAAAUGUUAUACGAGAAUUACCUUUUUUGUUAAUAUUUACAUUUAUACAGAAGUCAGACCAAUGAUGUCCAUGACACUGCUUCUGACUGUGCCACAAAUUCUUCCAGUUACUGUGUAUGUGUAAUCAAUAGUUUUACUUUGAUCUUAUUAUGUAUGAUUUGAUAUAUACAAUCCUCAUCAUUGCUUCCAGGUUUAUUAAAGGACAGUGAAUUGCUUUGAACAAUUACCCAAGUCUAAAAUAAUGUGUGAGUAUUCAUGGGCUGUGGUUUUUGUUUAUGUAUAUACAGCUUGCAGUUUUCACACUGGCUGAGUGUAUUUCACUUUUAUGCUACACGUUUUUAAUACAUUUUCAGCCACAGAGGAUUUAAUUCCACUUUACAGCAGUCUUGUCUGAACCCUCAGAUUAAGCUGAAAAGGUGCUGGGAAAUAUUGAAAAAGAGGAAAAAAAUAGAAACGUACAGAUGCUCAUCAUUAGCUAACUGCAGGAUGCUACAAAAAAAAAAAAAAUAAACUGGAAAACAUUUUUUGUAUAAAGUCAUA